RNAcentral lists this ribosomal RNA (496 nucleotides) under uncultured soil bacterium. RNAcentral describes it as "bacterial SSU rRNA". It matches the Rfam family "Bacterial small subunit ribosomal RNA", at positions 26 to 517 of the family's 1533-position model. The record is from RNAcentral.
AGAUUGAACGCUGGCGGCAGGCCUAACACAUGCAAGUCGAGCGGUAGAGAGGUGCUUGCACCUCUUGAGAGCGGCGGACGGGUGAGUAAUGCCUAGGAAUCUGCCUAGUGGUGGGGGAUAACGUUCGGAAACGGACGCUAAUACCGCAUACGUCCUACGGGAGAAAGCGGGGGACCUUCGGGCCUCGCGCCAUUAGAUGAGCCUAGGUCGGAUUAGCUAGUUGGUGAGGUAAUGGCUCACCAAGGCGACGAUCCGUAACUGGUCUGAGAGGAUGAUCAGUCACACUGGAACUGAGACACGGUCCAGACUCCUACGGGAGGCAGCAGUGGGGAAUAUUGGACAAUGGGCGAAAGCCUGAUCCAGCCAUGCCGCGUGUGUGAAGAAGGUCUUCGGAUUGUAAAGCACUUUAAGUUGGAGAAGGUUGUAACUUAAUACGUUGCAACUUUGACGUUACCGACAGAAUAAGCAACCGGCUAAACUUCGUGACCAGCAGCCG